This 304-nucleotide ribosomal RNA is filed under the name Pelobates cultripes (western spadefoot toad). RNAcentral's name for it is "SSU_rRNA_microsporidia". It matches the Rfam family "Eukaryotic small subunit ribosomal RNA", at positions 174 to 470 of the family's 1831-position model. The record is from RNAcentral. Lineage: Eukaryota; Metazoa; Chordata; Amphibia; Anura; Pelobatidae.
AAAUAUUGGGACAUGUAAAAAAGACAACUCUGUUCCGCAGAGUAGCUGUUGACGUUAUAGUUGUGCAGGCACUUUGUUGACUCUAGAGAACCUCGGGCCAAUCGCACAUCCCCGUGGCGGCGACUUUGCAUGCGGAUUUCAUCCAUAUUAACUUUCGAUGCCAGUUUCUGCGCCUACCAUGGUGACCACAGGUAAUGGGGAAUCAGGGUUCCAUUCCGUACAGGGACCCUGAGAAAUGGCUACCACAUGCAAGGAAGGCAGCAGGCGCGCAAAUGACCGACUCCCGACGCGGGAAGGUAGUGAU